CAAGANCUUGCGCUUUUGGAGCGGCCGAUGUCUGAUUAGCUAGUUGGUGGGGUAAUGGCUUACCAAGGCUUCGAUCGGUAGCUGGUCUGAGAGGACGACCAGCCACACUGGGACUGAGACACGGCCCAGACUCCUACGGGAGGCAGCAGUGGGGAAUUUUGGACAAUGGGGGAAACCCUGAUCCAGCCAUGCCGCGUGAGUGAAGAAGGCCUUCGGGUUGUAAAGCUCUUUCAGCCGGAACGAAAUGGUCAUGGUUAUCACCCGUGACAAAUGACGGUACCGGAAGAAGAAGCACCGGCUAACUACGUGCCAGCAGCCGCGGUAAUACGUAGGGUGCAAGCGUUAAUCGGGAUUACUGGGCGUAAAGCGUGCGCAGGCGGUUUUGUAAGUCAGAUGUGAAAUCCCCGGGCUUAACCUGGGAACUGCGUUUGAAA
Molecule: ribosomal RNA, 434 nt
Filed under: uncultured Nitrosospira sp.
Lineage: Bacteria; Pseudomonadati; Pseudomonadota; Betaproteobacteria; Nitrosomonadales; Nitrosomonadaceae
Description: bacterial SSU rRNA
Rfam family: Bacterial small subunit ribosomal RNA
Source: RNAcentral